This 511-nucleotide ribosomal RNA is filed under the name uncultured bacterium. RNAcentral describes it as "bacterial SSU rRNA". It matches the Rfam family "Bacterial small subunit ribosomal RNA", at positions 15 to 518 of the family's 1533-position model. The record is from RNAcentral.
GAUCCUGGCUCAGAACGAACGCUGGCGGCGCGUUUAAGCAUGCAAGUCGAGCGGCAAGGGCCUUCGGGCCCCUAGAGCGGCGGACGGGUGAGUAACACGUGGACAAUCUGCCCCCGGCCCGGGAUAGCCCAGGGAAACCUGGAUUAAUACCGGAUGAGACGGGACCCGCGAUGGCGGGACCCGGGAAGGCGCUGCGGCGCCGCCGGGGGAUGAGUCUGCGUCCCAUUAGCUAGACGGCGGGGUAACGGCCCACCGUGGCGACGAUGGGUAGCCGGCCUGAGAGGGUGGACGGCCACAUUGGAACUGAGACACGGUCCAGACUCCUACGGGAGGCAGCAGCUAAGAAUCUUCCGCAAUGGGCGAAAGCCUGACGGAGCGACGCCCGCGUGAACGAAGAAGGCCGUGAGGUUGUAAAGUUCUUUUCGGGAGGGGGAACAACCGUGGCAGGGAAUGGCCGCGGGAUGACGUGAAUCCCGGAAUAAGCCCCGGCUAACUACGUGCCAGCAGCCGC